Molecule: ribosomal RNA, 381 nt
Filed under: Membracioides sp. UCR ENT 00078206
Lineage: Eukaryota; Metazoa; Arthropoda; Insecta; Hemiptera; Schizopteridae
Description: partial large subunit ribosomal RNA
Source: RNAcentral
GUCUUUUUGAUAUUUWUUUAAAGUCGGGCCUGCCCAAUGAUUUUUAUUUAAUGGCUGCAGUAUUUUAACUGUACGAAGGUAGCAUAAUCAUUUGUCUAAUAAUUUUAGACUAGUAUGAAAGGUUUAAUAAGAAUUAAACUUUCUUAUUUAUAUAAAUAAGAAUUUAUUUUUUUAGUGAAAAAACUGAAAUUUUUUUAUAGGACGAGAAGACCCUAUAGAACUUUAUAAAUACAUAUAUAUAUAUAUAUAUGUAUUUAUUAUAUUGGGGUGAUAUAAAUUUUUAAUUAACAAUUUUUUAUUUUAUCUAUAAUUUUUGAUUUUUAUGAUCCAAUAUUUUUGAUUAUAAGAUUAAGUUACCUUAGGGAUAACAGCGUAGUUUAA